This 432-nucleotide ribosomal RNA is filed under the name uncultured bacterium. RNAcentral describes it as "partial 16S ribosomal RNA". It matches the Rfam family "Bacterial small subunit ribosomal RNA", at positions 28 to 507 of the family's 1533-position model. The record is from RNAcentral.
GACGAACGCUGGCGGCAUGCCUAACACAUGCAAGUCGAACGAGACGUUCCUGCCUAGUGGCUCACGGGUUCGUAACGCGUGGGAACCUGCCCUUAUGUUCUGAAUAACUCCCCGAAAGGGGUCCUAAUAACGGAUACUGUCUUCGGACCAAAGACUUAUCGCCUUUGGUUGGGCCCGCGUUUGUUUAGCUAGUUGGUAGGGUAAAAGCCUACCAAGGCGACGAUCCAUAGCUGGUCUGAGAGGAUGAUCAGCCACACUGGGACUGAGACACGGCCCAGACUCCUACGGGAGGCAGCAGUGGGAAUAUUGGACAAUGGGCGAAAGCCUGAUACAGCGAUGCCGCGUGAGUGAUGAAGGCCUUAGGGUUGUAAAGCUCUUUUAACCGGGAUGAUAAUGACAGUACCGGGAGAAUAAGCUCCGGCUAACUCCGUG